Molecule: transfer RNA, 74 nt
Filed under: Gammaproteobacteria bacterium AqS3
Lineage: Bacteria; Pseudomonadati; Pseudomonadota; Gammaproteobacteria
Description: tRNA-Gly
Rfam family: tRNA
About the family: Transfer RNA (tRNA) molecules are approximately 80 nucleotides in length. Their secondary structure includes four short double-helical elements and three loops (D, anti-codon, and T loops).
Source: RNAcentral
GCGGGUAUAGUUUAGUGGUAGAACAUCAGCCUUCCAAGCUGAGAACGCGAGUUCGAUUCUCGCUACCCGCUCCA